This 253-nucleotide ribosomal RNA is filed under the name uncultured bacterium. RNAcentral's name for it is "partial 16S ribosomal RNA". It matches the Rfam family "Bacterial small subunit ribosomal RNA", at positions 524 to 776 of the family's 1533-position model. The record is from RNAcentral.
UACGUAGGGUGCGAGCGUUAAUCGGAAUUACUGGGCGUAAAGCGUGCGCAGGCGGCUUUGCAAGACAGAUGUGAAAUCCCCGGGCUCAACCUGGGAAUUGCGCUUGUGACUGCAAAGCUGGAGUGCGGCAGAGGGGGAUGGAAUUCCGCGUGUAGCAGUGAAAUGCGUAGAUAUGCGGAGGAACACCGAUGGCGAAGGCAAUCCCCUGGGCCUGCACUGACGCUCAUGCCCGAAAGCGUGGGGAGCAAACAGG